GUCUCUUCGGAGGCAUCUUAUAAAAAUGGAACGAUACAGAGAAGAUUAGCAUGGCCCAUGUGCAAGGAUGACACACACAAAGCGAGAAAUGGUCCCAAGUUUU
Molecule: non-coding RNA, 103 nt
Organism: Spinacia oleracea (spinach)
Lineage: Eukaryota; Viridiplantae; Streptophyta; Magnoliopsida; Caryophyllales; Amaranthaceae
Source: Rfam